RNAcentral lists this unclassified non-coding RNA (348 nucleotides) under Hevea brasiliensis (rubber tree). The record is from RNAcentral. Lineage: Eukaryota; Viridiplantae; Streptophyta; Magnoliopsida; Malpighiales; Euphorbiaceae.
GUUCUUAAAUCCACCCUAUUUAGUAUCUCUAUGGUUUGAGGAGCAAUUGAUUGGUCCUUAUCAUUGCUACUCAGAUUGAUUUCAGGUCUAAGAAUCUCCCUUUGAAAAGGUAUAGGGGUAGGGAAAGUAACAUUUUCCUUCUUAUUCUCCCCUUGAAUAGGUGAUUGGAAAUAAGGUUCAAAUUCCCUAAAGGUGAUAUCCAUGCUCACAAAGUAUUUCUUUGAAAGAGGAGGAUAUCACUUAUACCCUUUUUGAGUUCCAGAAUAACCCACAAACACAUUUUAGGGUUUAGGUUCUAAUUUUUCAACAUGUGACCUAUGAACAAAGCGAAAACACCCAAAAACCUUU